RNAcentral lists this ribosomal RNA (406 nucleotides) under uncultured bacterium. Its description in RNAcentral is "partial 16S ribosomal RNA". It matches the Rfam family "Bacterial small subunit ribosomal RNA", at positions 30 to 526 of the family's 1533-position model. The record is from RNAcentral.
AUUGAACGCUGGCGGCAGGCCUAACACAUGCAAGUCGAACGAGUGGCGGACGGGUGAGUAAUGUCUGGGAAACUGCCCGAUGGAGGGGGAUAACUACUGGAAACGGUCGCUAAUACCGCAUACCAUCGGAUGUGCACAGAUGGGAUUAGCGUGUAGGUAAGGUAACGGCUUACCUAGGCGACUAUCCCUAGCGGGUCUGCGAGGAUGACCAGCCACACUGUAACAUAGAUGCGGUCCAGAAUCCUACGGGAGGCAGCAGGGGGGAAUAUUGCACAAUGGGCGCAAGCCUGAUGCAGCCAUGCCGCGUGUAUGAAGAAGGCCUUCGGGUUGUAAAGUACUUUCAGCGGGGAGGCGUUACCCGCAGAAGAAGCACCGGCUAACUCCGUGCCAGCAGCCGCGGUAAUAC